This is a long non-coding RNA of Neogale vison (American mink), 459 nucleotides long. RefSeq lists it as uncharacterized. Lineage: Eukaryota; Metazoa; Chordata; Mammalia; Carnivora; Mustelidae. The record is from RefSeq and is a predicted model, not a curated record. The transcript has 3 exons.
ACUCAACCCUUCCCUGAGAACACAGACACAUGUGACGGCAAAUCUCUUUCCAGAGAAUUGGAAACAGGUUGGUUCACCUUUGGGUCUGCUGUUGAGUCAACUGCCAGCUCUGAAGGCCAAGACAGGAAGUCCCAAAAGGGCAUAUUAUUCCAGGCCAGUGGAUUUUGAGAACACCAUGUUUGCAUCCAGCCCACCAGCAUGGACUUCCAAAGGACAGGCCAUGAAUCAAAGUCAUGGCUCUUCUUCAUUCAAGGAAUUGCUUGGGAUGAAGACAACUCUUUCAGAUGAGGGUACUCGAGUCUGGGGCUUGGCAGCCCCAGGUGAUGGAGAGAAAGAAGCCAGAGUUUUCUGGACAGACGAGGACAUAUAUGUGAAGGCAGAGGUGUGAGCACAGAAUGACAUGAACAAAUACACAGAGAGAGCAAACAGACGGAGAUCUCCACGUGUGCACAGACAUGU